CUGGGCAGAUGAUGCCUACCUUAUUGCCUAGGUGACACCACUGUCACAUGCUUGACAACAUUGUCACAUGCUCAAUGACUAUGCCUGCUUAGUUCACCUGGAGCAGGCUGUGCCUAACAUCCUGUGCACGUAUACUUAAAGUAGAUCUGAGUAGGAGGUCACCACAAAGCAUGUCACAAGAACCCUGAGGAUGAAACAGUGCCUUUUGCUGAGGGCCAGUAUGACAAGCACUGUUGAAAUUUUCAAAAUAGGGCUUCCCAUAAAUCAGGAUGGUGGCUUCUGACUUCAGCUGAGAAAAUACCUUUUCUAGCUGAUUUAUAAUGAUAGUUGAAGGAUCUAUGCAAACCCAGGGUAUUGAGGAGUAGCUGAAGAACACUUAUCACAACUUGAGCCUGGACAUAAGUUGCAAAAGCUUGCGGAGUAAACAGACAGAAAAGUUUGAUGAUAAUCCUAUCAUUCAUAGGUUAUUAUUGUAACAUUCUAGAUUAGGCUGAUAUUUUGUGGUUGAAUAUGCAAUUUAAACGCAAUAUAGUAAUAUCUUCCAAGAUAUUAUGAUGUUUAUCAUCUACUGAGUAUUUAAACCACUAUUUUUACUGAAGACAGCAUCUGUAUAACACAAUUAAAAAUUAUAGGGAUAUCACUACCUGAAGAUGAUGAUAUUUAACUAUGAGGUGAGGAGUAUGCUGUGCCUGGGAAAAGUUCCCUGUUUGAAUUUCAGAAGUCAGUGUCACAGUACCAAAGGCCAUGCAGCGACAGUACAUUCUGUCAGGUCAUCCAGUGGCACACUCAUGCUGCAUGUGAUUUUUCAGGAAUAUUUUAAUAUUUCCUAUUUUACAUUGCAAUAUGACAGGAUAUUUCCAUGAGGAGAAAAUUGGAAAGCAAAUACAGAAGUAUAUAGAUUUUCAGACAUCACUUACAAGUAUUUUUUUUUACAAAAUGUUGGCUAUCAACAGAUGAGAAGGAUGGAGCAUUUCUCCAGAGAAAUGCACUUCAGUGCAACCUAACAUGUACAUCGGUCUUUGAAAUGUCAAUUUCUCUGACACACUGGUGACAUGAAUUUGCAGAAAACUGAAAAAAAACAAGAAGAAGGAAAAUGUUUAGCUGUAGAAGAGUAAAAUUUACCUUAAGAAAACACCAACCCUGGCAAGUUUCCAUUUCUGUAUGCAUUAUUAAGCUACCCCAACACGAUUCACAUUCACAAAUAUGCAUUCAUUAUUAAGGCAUGAACAGCUGGCUAGAUCGUGAGUUCCCUCAUGUAAAAAUUUCAUUACUUCAACCAGCUAAAGAAGAGGGAUUUCUUUUUUUUUAUUGGAAGAUAUCAGAAUCUGAUCUACUUGGUUUAUAUACCACUAAAAGUACUCUUAAGUAUCUUGGUCUUCUAUUAGUUUUGUACUAUGUUUCAAAUUGAAAUGGUUUAAACUUUUGCUAGUUUAAACUCUCAGUCUGCCAUAUGAAAUAAUUGAAUUCAAUGCAACAUUGUGAGAUCUGGGGAGGUUAAUUUUCUAUGUUUAGAAUGAAAUGGAAUAAAAACGGUUUUGAAUAACAAUAGGAUCAAAUUAUGCAUUGCUGUCUAGCAAAUAGAAACUUUUGAUUAAAGAAAGUCUUUGAAGUCUGGAUCAACAUUUGUCUUUGAAUAUUGUAAAUGCUUUCUAAGUAGGUAGAUACACACUCACACAGACUCCCCAUCUAUAUUGUAAAUUUAAUGGAAAACUAUUCCACUUUAUCCUUAUGCAUAAGUGCUAGGUUUUAUAAUUAUAGCUCCAUUCAGAAUCUAAUAAAAUUAAUGAAAAGCUUGUUUAAGUUCCUAUUCUUAGCACCUUAUUCAGAUACUUGUAUAUUUUACAUAUUUUAUAGUAUAUAUCUGCAUUCUAAGUGUUAGUUAACACUCUUACAUGGUUUGUAUCACAGCUAGAUUUGUCUUAGUACCAUUAUAGUUGAAAGAACAGCAUUAAGGAAGCCUUUCUUUUUAGUUCCUGAUUGUGAUUGCUAGCAUAUCAAAUUUAUCCCGUUGUAAUCCAGAUCAUUUUCCAGAAGCUUUGAGAACUAUAUGUAGUAGUUUGUUAAAGAGCUCACAAGAAACCCUAUACUGACAGAACAAAAAGCCCUUCGACUGUCACUUUAUGUCAUUAACAAUUUCUAAACCCAUUACAGAUGGGAUGGACUGAUUAAAAUUGAGGAGGGAGGAUCUUUUUCCCAGCCAGAAAUAUCCCCUGAGACUUUUCCUGCAUGUGAAGUUUCUGGUGAUUAAUGGGAGAAAAAUAGGACCGCCUGCCCCACAGUUGCCGCACACUUCAUUUAGGAAAGAUGUUAUUUGGUGAUGUGCUUGCAUUGGAUGUCUUUAGAAGUUAAAUAUGAACUGGAUAAUUUUUAAAAACAGUCUACAGUUUAAUUGCUCUUUUUUUCUUAUUUUUCAAUAUUCACUUUUUAUAGCUUCCCUGUGAUUUUUAUAAAUGGUGCUAAAAGACUAAAAUGUUUAUCUUUGAACCCCCACACCUCCCUUCCAUUCUGAUGUUUUAUUUCUGUAAAUGAAAGCUACAGCUGGAAUAUUGUUUUACUACAAAUCUUACACCAGCACUGUGGUUGUGAUGUGACACCAGAGAUUCUUAUCUGUAGGCUGGGUUGGAAUUAAUAAACAUUCUCACAUUGUGCAAAGUGUUGAGGAUGAACAGCAGUGCAGUGAGGUGCAUCCAACACUUCUUGCUUCCCACCUGAUCCUUGAAAUAUGACUCCUUUAAAAGGCUAAUAUUUGCUUUAUAUAGAAGUGACAAUAUUCAAGCACUAACAUGUACUGGAAUUAUUGUUGAGUUCUGUGUUCCUCUAAGUUCUUUUCUGAAGAGAAAAAUUGAGGGGGAAGAAAGAAUGAGAAUCAUUGAAAUAAAAAGAAGGAAAACAUAUUAUUUCUACCAAAAGUAUCAGCAGUGCUUUUAUAAGAGAAUUUCUAUCUAACCCAAGUGAUCAGCUUUCUUUGAGAUAUAAUAUUUUAUCAUUUCUUAAAAUAAGGAACUAAAAAGGGAAGAAAACUA
Neopsephotus bourkii (Bourke's parrot) is the source of this 3023-nucleotide long non-coding RNA. RefSeq lists it as uncharacterized. NCBI's taxonomy places the organism in Eukaryota, Metazoa, Chordata, Aves, Psittaciformes, Psittacidae. The transcript has 3 exons. The record is from RefSeq and is a predicted model, not a curated record.